RNAcentral lists this unclassified non-coding RNA (1123 nucleotides) under Hevea brasiliensis (rubber tree). Lineage: Eukaryota; Viridiplantae; Streptophyta; Magnoliopsida; Malpighiales; Euphorbiaceae. The record is from RNAcentral.
GAAAGAGAUAAUUUCACUGUUAUAUACUGUCUAUUAUACAACAAAUAUCAGCCAAAUACUCCAGCAUUAUACCGCUACCCUUUAUAUACAUUUCCCAAGAACAGCCAGCUUGAUAACUUCAGCUUAGAAACAGGAGCAUUGAAUUGAAUAAAUAUAACUACCAUACUACACAGGUCUUCUAAGUUUGGGAAAGCAUAGCCAAGAGAAUCUUCUUCCUGGGUCCCAUUGGUAUCCCCAAUUCCUUCAGGUCACGGUCCCCCAUUUGCUUCAGUGCAGCCAUGUCUACCUCCUCGGCUUGAAAGUGGAUAGUGUAUUUCCCCAAACCGAGCGAAUUUAAUAGACUGGCAACGGUCAAAGGAGGUUGAUCAGGAUAUGGUCUGUGUAGCAUGCCUCCAUUUGCAGAGGGAAGACCUGUCAAUGGAUUCCUGGCACCCAGUGCUGACCUCAUGGUCACAGGGGUAAGGACUUUUAGCUGAGAAGAGUCGAUGAGGUCAUAUCCUGCCAUAUGAACCAUUCUUGAAGCUUCGGCUGGCCUUACUGACGGUACAUGCUGAGCUGCAGUGAUAUUCCUUGAAGAAGAGACUUCUUUAGAAUCGUUUGCAAGUCUAUAAGGGGAUCUUGAUCUAACACCAGCAGCAGUUUGUGAUGUAUAGGAGGAUCUAAUUGCCUCUAUCUGAAGCAAUUCGCUAGCUCCUGACGACGGUUGGCUGCUGGUGACAAGCCUCUUGUGAGAUUGUUCUGCAGAUUGAACACUUCUUGUCAUCCUCUUAUGCUGCUCCUUUUUUCUUUCUUCAAUCUGCAGAUGAAUUUCCCUUUGCCUUCUUCUGUGCGUUAGUUUCAGUCGGAGGUCAUUUUUCCCAAUGCGUGCACCAUUCUGUCUGCCAUAUCUGGAACCUCCUGCAUCUUUAUCCCCUCGCACACGUUUACGAAGGGAUUUUGUAGGAUCCUCAGAGUCAGUCCUAUAGGUCUCUCCUAAUGACCUUUUGCCUCUUGACAAUGUCUGUUGACUAAAACCAUUACCCUGAGAAGCUGAUGAUCGCUUAACCACUUUUUGACCCGAGCGUCCCAAAGUGAUGGUGACCUGAGGCCUUGACAUUUGAGAUGGUCAAAACUUAUGCACAGC